AUCACCCCUCAAGCCCCGUGCUUGGUGUUGGACGGUUUUGGUCGAGUGUUCUCGACCCCUCCUAAAGACAAUGACGGCGGCCUGCGGAUCCCCCGGUACACUGAGCUUUUCACCGAGCACGUAUCGGACAAGGGCGCCCAGGCCACGGUCCUCUCCUCUAACCAGGAAACAUUUUCAAGG
RNAcentral lists this unclassified non-coding RNA (180 nucleotides) under Cladophialophora carrionii. RNAcentral's name for it is "ITS2". The record is from RNAcentral. Lineage: Eukaryota; Fungi; Ascomycota; Eurotiomycetes; Chaetothyriales; Herpotrichiellaceae.